Molecule: long non-coding RNA, 344 nt
Filed under: Manihot esculenta (cassava)
Lineage: Eukaryota; Viridiplantae; Streptophyta; Magnoliopsida; Malpighiales; Euphorbiaceae
Description: long non-coding RNA (MESC_LNC011823)
Source: RNAcentral
CCUGUUUUACUUUUAAUUUUUACCGAUUGAAGAACUCCAUAGCAGUCGUCUUCAUUGCUGUCACAGUAUGAAGAUGUCAGAUUUUUACUAGAGGAUGACCUGCUGGAUGAGUUUGUCGACUUUGUUUCCAAACUGGACUGUUUUUUUCUUUUGCUGAGUGCCUACUUUGAUGCUUUUUUACCAGAGGAUUUCUUUGAAGAUUCUUUACUGGAAGUUUGCUUUAUCUCUUCAUUUUUUACGGAUUUUCCUUAAGCAAUAUGAUUGAACAUUUCCUGACAAAUCAUUUUAUAUUUUUCGGGAGCUUUAGCUAUUGCUAACAAGACCUAACAUUGGGCUUUCUGGGC